Felis catus (domestic cat) is the source of this 5348-nucleotide long non-coding RNA. RefSeq lists it as uncharacterized. The transcript is spliced from 3 exons. The record is from RefSeq and is a predicted model, not a curated record. Lineage: Eukaryota; Metazoa; Chordata; Mammalia; Carnivora; Felidae.
CCACGAGAUCAUGACCUGAGCUGAAGUCAGACAACGAACUGAGCCAUCCAGGCACCCCAAGUGAGAACAAUUAAGAUGUAAUCUCUUAGCAACUCUGAAGUUCGAAUACAUCCUUACGGACCGUGAUCACAAUGCUGUGCAUUUCAUCUCCAGAACUUACUUAUCUACCAACUUUCUCACCUCCUGUGUUUUCAAUCGGUGCAUCCCUGAACUCACCAUGCUGGGUGCAUCUGUUGAUGAGGAAGACGGAGAGGAAGAGGAGCAAAAUGGAGAGACAGCUGCAGGUGGCAGCAAUAAUGGAUCUGGUGACUGGUGGGAGAGGAGCAGGUCACACAAUCAGUUUGGCUGCCCAGACACCCUGAUCUGCAUGCGGCAGGACAGUCGUCAGCAGCUAGACAAUCCAGCUUCUAAAGCCUCCAGCUGCUGCUUCCGAGCUGGACCUUCCGAUGUCUUAGGGGAGUGAAUCUGACUUUCCCUUUCCCCAUUCAAAGCGAGGAUGGGAAUAGUAGCUACUGACUGCACUGCAUGGUGGGGGGCUGGGGGGGUAACCAGGUGGGCACUCCCAGAGAGGGCCUCGCCCAAGGGAAAUUCCCAAUCAGUGUGUCAGCCAUAUCAAUAGUAAUGAAGAUUUAUGGGGCGCCCGGCUGGCUCCAUUGGUUGAGCAUCCGACUUCGGCGCAGGCCAUGAUCUCACAGUUCGUGGGUUCAAGCCCCGCGUCGGGCUCUGUGCUGACAGCUCAGAGCCUGGAGCCUGCUUCAGAUUCUGUCUCCCCCUCUCUCUGCCCCUCCUCUGCUCGUGCUCUGUCUCUUUCUCUCAAAAAUAAAUACAUGUUUAAAAAAAUUAAAAAAAAAAAAAAGUCACACAGCCGGGAUGGGCUUCAAGUCCUGGGAUGUCUAACCCUUCAGGCCAGGUGGCCCCGGGUCCGGGCAGCUCUGUGCUGGCCACUGGGUGUGGAAACCCCAGAGAAGUGAGCUCACAGUCUGGGCAGAUACGCGUUUCCCCACAUAACGGCAAUGCUGGCAGAGGCAAGUCCCAUCAGACAUGAAUGGAAGUCCCAACUCUCUCCCAGUUCAAGGGUUGUUUAAAUGGUAUACACCCCUGGGAUAUUAUUCAGAAAAUCCUACCAUCUGCAACAAAGCCUAUGAAACCUGGAGGGCAUUAUGCUAAGGGACAUGAACCAAAGGCAAACACUACAUGAUUGGAUUCCUCUUACACUUGGAAUCUAAAAAAUUAAAAAAAUUUUUUUUUUUUAAUUGAACUCAUAGAAGCAGAGAGUAGAUGGUUGCCAGGGGCUGAGGGCGGGGUAAGUGGGGAGAAGCUUCCAGUUAAAAGAUGAAUAAGGAUUCCUGGGUGGCUCAGUCGGUUAAGCGUCUGACUUCAGCUUAGGUCAUGAGUUCGAGCCCCGCGUCGGGCUCUCUGCUGACAGCUCAGAGCCUGGAACCCGCUGCGGAUUCUGUGUUUCCCUGUCUCUCUGCCCCUCCCCCGCUCAUGCUCUGUCUCUCUCUCUCUCUCUCUUUCUCAAAAAUGAAUAAACUUAAAAAAAACUUUAAAAAAAAAGGAGUAAGAGUAUAACAGGUUUUGAGAGAAAUCCAGAGGUGAUCCAGGAUGUGUAUAGUGAUUAUUCAAGUUCAUAAAAUACAUUACUUUCCUUGGUAUUCACUUUUUGGGGCAACGGGAAUGCCAAUGAGGAGAAAUAUGUUAAUGCAAAUUCGUAACUGUUUAAAUCUAAUAUCUAACAUAUACGCGUUUUAAGUUAAAAUGGCACAUAAUAAGCAAUUUUAUUGCCAAUCACAUGAAGUUUUCCCUUUGCGUGAGAUCUUGAAUUUACAAUGAACGUUUCCUGGCUACCAGGAACAUUAUUUUUGAAUUAUCUAGAUAUGUCUUAUUUCUAAACUGAACCACACCAGUUAGUAUUUUCACAGGAGGGUUCUCUUGCUGACUGAGGCUUACUAGAAUCAUCUUUCGUGUGGAAUUUUUCUUCCAAAAUGCCUACUAUACAGAAGACCAUAAGAACUGAAUUUUUUUGUUUGAUAGUACUUUUUUUCAGUCUUUUAAAUUCGGACAGAAUUUGAACACAUCGACUCUGUUUGCACUCAAAAGAAGCGAAUAAAAAGUACUUAUAAAAGACAACAUGGGGUGCCUGGGUGGCGCAGUUGGUUGGGCGUCUGCCUUCGGCUCAGGUCAUGAUCUCACAAUCCGUGAGUUCGAGCCCCACAUCGGGCUCUGUGCUGACCGCUCAGAGCCUGGAGCCUGCUUCGGAUUCUGUGUCUCCCUCUCUCUCUGCCCCUCCCUGUCUCACACUCUGUCUCUUGCUCUCACAAAAAUAAAUAAAUAUUAAAUGUUUUUUAAAAGGUGAAUAAAUUCUGCACAUGUAAUGUAUCGUAUGGUGAAAGUAGUUGAUACUCUAUUGUAUAAAUGAAAUUUGCUUAAAGAGAUCUUAAGCAUUCUUACUAAAAAAAAAAAAAGUGAGUACGUGAGGGGCAGGUGCAUUCAUUCAUUUGAUGGGGGGAUUCCUUUCACGGCGUGCUUGUACUCCCAACCAUCACGGGGCACACUUUAAAUACCUUAUUUUCUUUCCCGAUUACAGCUCCAUAAAGAUGGGGCCGGAAGGAGAGGGGUGGGGUGAGAAUACCUGACUCACAGAGCUGGAUAUUGAAGGUGCGAGUACUGGCUUUACAACGCUCAGUCUAGAAUCUGACUCACCGUGUAGGAUAAUGAGAUCGCAGUGAUAAUGAUUAUUUUCUCCCCCGAUAUCCCGCCCACACCUGUCUCCCUCUGUAGCAGAUGAUGCCGAUGCUCCUCCUUCCCUGCUCCCCCAGAUCCCUUUGCUGUUUUUAUGCACUCUGGAUCGUGGUUUCCUGCCUUAAGCCCUGGCUGCCCGUGUGUGCCACCUUCUCCAUCUCCUGCACUUUCCCGUGGCAUUGAGCAAAAGACACUCACUCGUGUUCUGUCCUUUUCUUCUCAUGCCUUCUUCCCCCGUGCCCUCUGCAAUAUCGUUUCCACGCUCGUACUUAUGUGAGAGUCUGCUUCUAGCAGCCCUGAAUCCAACACACCCUCAAACACAGCAAUCUAUCAGCGCAUCACCAGGGACGUGAGACACAGGGCAGGAGCAGCUCUUCCCGGACUAGCAAGGCCCUGAAUGGACGCAGAGAAGCUUCGACAUUCAUCUAGCCUAGAUUUCGCUCUCACAGCAGCUCACUAGAAAUGAGAAGUAAACUAUUACAAGACUUCCCUCUUCCUAUGGCCCCACACCCAUCGAUCUGAGCUCACCCUGAGAUGUCCACAUAUCCUGGCCAAAUUUCACAUCCCUGUUUACAAGUUGCCAGAAUAAACUACAAAGAGUCUCUGAUGUUGGUGUGAAGGAAUCAGACGAGCAAAGGGAUACAGCUUGACAUGGGGCGUAAAUAAAGUCACAGACACAGAAGAGAAGGCUGGCCUCGUAUGCGGGCUGGGGACAUCCUGUCUGAGCUUAAAGGCUUUAUUCUGUUUAGAAUCGCGGCGGUAUAAAUUUGAACUCAGAAAGCACAUCUUAAGAAGACACCCACUAGGGUGUCUAUAAUAAAAGGAAAAUAAGGGUUGGCAAGGAUAUGGAGAUAUUGGAACCCACAUGCAUUACUGGUGGGAAUGUAAAAUGGGGCGGCCACGUUGGGAAAUAACUUGGCCGUUUCUCAAAAAGUUAAAUGUAGAGUUAACAUAUGCCCUUCCAAUUCUACCCAUGGGUAGAUACCGAAGAAAAAUUGGGAGCGGGGACUCAAACAGGUACGUGCACACCAAUGCUCAGGGUAGAAUUAUUGCAAUACCAAAAAGGUAUGAACAACCCAAAUGUCCACCAUGGGGAUGGGGAGAGACCGCUUAACAGGCUGGCGAUUUCAUUUGGGGGUGAUGAGAAUGUUCUGGAAUUGUAUAGUGGCUGUGGCUGCACAGCCUUGCAAACAUACUAAAAUGCCACUGAGUCAUAUACUUCAAAAGGGUGAAUUUAGGGAGUGUAGUUAUGUAUCAACCAAAAAGAAAGAAAACGCAAGAGCCGAAAUAACCGUUUCUCUUCCUCUUUCCCCUCUGACACUUCCUGCUCUAUUUCUGACCCUUUCUUGCUCCUGGAUGCUAUCAGAUUUCAGAUCUCUCCAAGAAAACAUUCCUGGCAUGCAUUAUGGUCCUAAAGCUGGAGUAGAAAUCAUUUCCCAAGUCUGCUAAUCCUGAAUAAACACAUUUUCAAAGACUAUUACUUAUUUUGCAAGGACAUUUUGGGAGAUACCUUUAAAAAAAAAAAAAAAAAGCUGGUUAUGUCAAUGUCAACUCUAAUGACAGCCCUGAACAAUUUUGGCUCUUUGGAGUAGCUUAUAGGGAGGUUACAAGUUGCAGAAAUUAAAGAUGAGUAAGCACCUAGUUGCCAAUUUACAUUAUAUAUUUGGCCAUUAAAAUCUGGAUGAGCUCCUGUUUUCAUCCAAAGAUGUCAAAAGCUCUAACUUUUACAGGCAUCUCUGAGGAUAGAAUCUUAGCCAAUUCUUCAUGGCAAAGCAGCAUCAGGGAAAAGUAACUGAAUGUUCAGCUGUGUUUGAGAAUUUAGAAGUUUUAGCAAGUCCUUUGGUCAUACAUAUUCCCAAAGCACGUGGACUCCACAGCAUAGGGAUCGUGCUGCCCAAACCAGACACACAAGCUCAUCCCAUUCUUCCCAAAACUUCACCAUAGUGUUUUCAUUAUGUAAAAUGACAAACGAUGCACCUCGUGCUGUCUUACUCGUCAGAUUUUUAUGAACCCAGGAGGAGCUCAGGAGUCAUUGCCCAAGAGAGGCAAUCAUCCUCCCAAUCGCAUUGAGAAAUCAUGCAUCGAGAUGCUUCUUGUGCCUUUUAAUCAAAAAGGAUCCCCUGUCUCAUGAGGUGGGUAUAAUUUGGAAAAGCAUUCUUCAAUUUAUCUUACCUUUUCCCCCUGGAGGGGCUCUGUGUUUAUUGCGGUCAUCUAGAAAACAGGAGGUAAGAAAAAAAAUCACAAUGAUUGUGUGGGAAUCUUGGGGUCCUAUGUCCUCAUGUCCCACUUACGGACUCUAUGCCUUCUUUGGGAAGCAGAGAAUGUCUUCCCCACUCUUGGGAUGCUCACUGGGUUCGCAAACCAGGGUCAGAAUAUGAGAUUGCUCUUUCUAAUAUUCUUGGAAUUUUGAUAUUAUUUCUAAUAACAAAAAUAUUUAUAUGACCCCACUAAUUCCCCCCUCCCCUUCCAAUCCUAUUCCUUGCCAGUCUUCCCUAUCUCAGGCAAGAGCACGGCCAUUUUGCAAAUAUUCUCUCCCAUUUGGUUAAGUUGUCUUCUCAUCUUGUUGACUGUUUCUUCAGCCACGCAGAAGCUUUUUAGCUUGAUGC